This 372-nucleotide ribosomal RNA is filed under the name uncultured organism. RNAcentral describes it as "bacterial SSU rRNA". It matches the Rfam family "Bacterial small subunit ribosomal RNA", at positions 526 to 896 of the family's 1533-position model. The record is from RNAcentral.
CAGAGGGGGCAAGCGUUGUUCGGAAUUACUGGGCGUAAAGGGCGCGUAGGCGGCCUUCUAAGUCGAACGUGAAAUCCCCGGGCUCAACCCGGGAACUGCGUCCGAUACUGGAAGGCUUGAAUCCGGGAGAGGGAUGUGGAAUUCCAGGUGUAGCGGUGAAAUGCGUAGAUAUCUGGAGGAACACCGGUGGCGAAGGCGACAUCCUGGACCGGUAUUGACGCUGAGGCGCGAAAGCCAGGGGAGCAAACGGGAUUAGAUACCCCGGUAGUCCUGGCCCUAAACGAUGAAUGCUUGGUGUGGCGGGUAUCGAUCCCUGCCGUGCCGAAGCUAACGCAUUAAGCAUUCCGCCAGGGGAGUACGGUCGCAAGGCUG